UUGAUCCCUAAUUUCAUCUCACUUUUCUUUAUUCUUCAGUUUCUCACCUAAAUUUCUUUAUUUCUAAAUGAUUCACUAGAGAAGGUAGUUUAGUCGCUACUUGUCCUACGUUAGUUGGUACCAAAGGUCAACUUCUGUCCUUACCUUCCAGCACUUUCACACUAUCAAAAAAACCUCAAAAUUUUCUACCACGAUAGAUUGAUCAAAUGUGGACUUUAUAGUCAUUUUCAGAGUGGAUCAACUUUAACUCGUCAUAAA
RNAcentral lists this long non-coding RNA (258 nucleotides) under Carica papaya (papaya). RNAcentral's name for it is "long non-coding RNA (CPAP_LNC008689)". Lineage: Eukaryota; Viridiplantae; Streptophyta; Magnoliopsida; Brassicales; Caricaceae. The record is from RNAcentral.